RNAcentral lists this ribosomal RNA (355 nucleotides) under uncultured bacterium. Its description in RNAcentral is "bacterial SSU rRNA". It matches the Rfam family "Bacterial small subunit ribosomal RNA", at positions 29 to 398 of the family's 1533-position model. The record is from RNAcentral.
AACGAACGCUGGCGGCAUGCCUAACACAUGCAAGUCGAACGUGAUCCGGGACUUCGGUUUCGGUGAAAGUGGCGGACGGGUGAGUAACGCGUGGGAACCUGCCCAGUGGUAGGGGAUAACCGCGGGAAACUGCGGCUAAUACCCUGUGUGCCCUGCGGGGCAAAGAUUCAUCGCCAUUGGAGGGGCCCGCGUCGGAUUAGGUAGUUGGUGGGGUAACGGCCUACCAAGCCUUCGAUCCGUAGCUGGUCUGAGAGGAUGAUCAGCCACACCUGGGACUGAGACACGGCCCAGACUCCUACGGGAGGCAGCAGUGGGGAGUAUUGGACAAUGGGGGCAACCCUGAUCCAGCAAUGCC